This 335-nucleotide ribosomal RNA is filed under the name uncultured Planctomycetales bacterium. Its description in RNAcentral is "bacterial SSU rRNA". It matches the Rfam family "Bacterial small subunit ribosomal RNA", at positions 473 to 806 of the family's 1533-position model. Lineage: Bacteria; Pseudomonadati; Planctomycetota; Planctomycetia; Planctomycetales. The record is from RNAcentral.
CUAAGGCUCCAGAGGAAGCCACGGCUAACUCUGUGCCAGCAGCCGCGGUAAUACAGAGGCGGCAAGCGUUGUUCGGAAUUAUUGGGCGUAAAGAGCACGUAGGCGGCCUUGCAAGUCAGUUGUGGAGGCCUUCCGCUUAACGGAAGAAUGCCAGCUGAUACUACAGGGCUUGAGUACGGGAGGGGAGAGUGGAACUUCUGGUGGUGCGGUGAAAUGCGUAGAUAUCAGAAGGAACGCCGGCGGCGAAAGCGACUCUCUGGCCCGAAACUGACGCUGAGUGUGCGAAAGCUAGGGGAGCAAACGGGAUUAGAUACCCCGGUAGUCCUAGCCGUAAA